RNAcentral lists this ribosomal RNA (433 nucleotides) under uncultured bacterium. RNAcentral describes it as "partial 16S ribosomal RNA". It matches the Rfam family "Bacterial small subunit ribosomal RNA", at positions 29 to 507 of the family's 1533-position model. The record is from RNAcentral.
AACGAACGCUGGCGGCAUGCCUAACACAUGCAAGUCGAACGAGACCUUCGGGUCUAGUGGCGCACGGGUGCGUAACGCGUGGGAACCUUCCCUUAGGUUCGGAAUAACUCCCCGAAAGGGGUGCUAAUACCGGAUAAUGUCUUCGGACCAAAGAUUUAUCGCCUUUGGAUGGGCCCGCGUUGGAUUAGCUAGUUGGUAGGGUAAAAGCAUACCAAGGCGACGAUCCAUAGCUGGUCUGAGAGGAUGAUCAGCCACACUGGGACUGAGACACGGCCCAGACUCCUACGGGAGGCAGCAGUGGGGAAUAUUGGACAAUGGGCGAAAGCAUGAUCCAGCAAUGCCGCGUGAGUGAUGAAGGCCUUAGGGUUGUAAAGCUCUUUUACCCGGGAUGAUAAUGACAGUACCGGGAGAAUAAGCUCCGGCUAACUCCGUG